CUCAGGAUGAACGCCGGCGGUGUGCCUAAUACAUGCAAGUCGAACGCGUUGGCCCAAUUGAUUGAUGGUGCUUGCACCUGAUUGAUUUUGGUCGCCAACGAGUGGCGGACGGGUGAGUAACACGUAGGUAACCUGCCCAGAAGCGGGGGACAACAUUUGGAAACAGAUGCUAAUACCGCAUAACAACGUUGUUCGCAUGAACAACGCUUAAAAGAUGGCUUCUCGCUAUCACUUCUGGAUGGACCUGCGGUGCAUUAGCUUGUUGGUGGGGUAAUGGCCUACCAAGGCGAUGAUGCAUAGCCGAGUUGAGAGACUGAUCGGCCACAAUGGGACUGAGACACGGCCCAUACUCCUACGGGAGGCAGCAGUAGGGAAUCUUCCACAAUGGGCGCAAGCCUGAUGGAGCAACACCGCGUGAGUGAAGAAGGGUUUCGGCUCGUAAAGCUCUGUUGUUAAAGAAGAACACGUAUGAGAGUAACUGUUCAUACGUUGACGGUAUUUAACCAGAAAGUCACGGCUAACUACGUGCCAGCAGCCGCGGUAAUACGUAGGUGGCAAGCGUUAUCCGGAUUUAUUGGGCGUAAAGAGAGUGCAGGCGGUUUUCUAAGUCUGAUGUGAAAGCCUUCGGCUUAACCGGAGAAGUGCAUCGGAAACUGGAUAACUUGAGUGCAGAAGAGGGUAGUGGAACUCCAUGUGUAGCGGUGGAAUGCGUAGAUAUAUGGAAGAACACCAGUGGCGAAGGCGGCUACCUGGUCUGCAACUGACGCUGAGACUCGAAAGCAUGGGUAGCGAACAGGAUUAGAUACCCUGGUAGUCCAUGCCGUAAACGAUGAGUGCUAGGUGUUGGAGGGUUUCCGCCCUUCAGUGCCGGAGCUAACGCAUUAAGCACUCCGCCUGGGGAGUACGACCGCAAGGUUGAAACUCAAAGGAAUUGACGGGGGCCCGCACAAGCGGUGGAGCAUGUGGUUUAAUUCGAAGCUACGCGAAGAACCUUACCAGGUCUUGACAUCUUGCGCCAACCCUAGAGAUAGGGCGUUUCCUUCGGGAACGCAAUGACAGGUGGUGCAUGGUCGUCGUCAGCUCCUGUCCUGAGAUGUUGGGUUAAGUCCCGCAACGAGCGCAACCCUUGUUACUAGUUGCCAGCAUUAAGUUGGG
Molecule: ribosomal RNA, 1155 nt
Filed under: Limosilactobacillus fermentum
Lineage: Bacteria; Bacillati; Bacillota; Bacilli; Lactobacillales; Lactobacillaceae
Description: bacterial SSU rRNA
Rfam family: Bacterial small subunit ribosomal RNA
Source: RNAcentral